Molecule: non-coding RNA, 228 nt
Organism: Pelobates cultripes (western spadefoot toad)
Lineage: Eukaryota; Metazoa; Chordata; Amphibia; Anura; Pelobatidae
Source: the annotation of a GenBank genome assembly
CUGGCUUUCAAUCAUACAUGUCCUUUUACUUCCUGGUUUGGUUUGCUCAGUGGAGCUAAACUCAAGAUACAGCAAUUGCUCAGAGCACCUGCCUUGCAAAGACUUCUCAUUGAGCUGCAUUGGGAAGUCUGUGAUUGGACAGUCACAGAAAGUCUGGGUGGGGUUAAAAGGGGAGGGCUUGCAAAAGCAGCAAACAAGAGACCUGCAGCUUUUGCAAGCGGUUUUUAG